This 26-nucleotide non-coding RNA is filed under the name Mus musculus (house mouse). The record is from RNAcentral. Lineage: Eukaryota; Metazoa; Chordata; Mammalia; Rodentia; Muridae.
CGGGACUCUUAAAGCGUGUGUGGGCA